GUGCCACAGUUCAUGGGGUCGCAAAGAGUUGGACGUGACUGAGCGACUGAACUGAAUAAAUGUUAGUGGCUGUACUAGACUCUGAAAAUGUCCAUUUCAGUAAAACCAAUUUCAUGAUCUCGAUGAAGCACAGCUGAGUUGAGGACACAGUCUGGAUCAGGCUUGAAGAGAUCACUUUGUAAACACCAUUGCCAGUCUUCACAGCCACCUAGCAAGGUGAGUAUUAUCCUCAUUCCAAAGAUAAGAAAGUGAGAUCAGAGAGAACGAUAACUCACUUGAGGUUACACAGUUCAGAAAAUCUUUAUUCCAAAUCCUUCAUACCCAGAGGCCCAUAUUUUACAAUACACCAUUCUGCCUCCCUAAGGGAAGAAGCUAUUUCUAAUAAGCCCCAAAGAAAUGCACUGUUUCUGAAAUAUGAGGUAUGUAUUUUAAAAUACUGAAUUUGGUCAGUUUAAUCAAAGUACUCCACUUUCUAAAGGGAAGCAAGAAAAUACGAAAGAUGGUUCCUGCCUAUUUGGGCUUCAUGUAAUGUUUACAUGUCUUUUUUUAAAGCCCUGAAUGGAAGGUUUUCAUCUAACUCCCUAUCUGUUCCAAAACUCUCUUUAUUACCUCCUAGUUCACUUCUAGUGAAAUGAGAUAAUGACAUUCACUCCAAUCAACGUGUCAUCAGGUCAGCCUCACCUCGAAGUUUAUUGGAAAUGCCACCCCAGACCUACUGAAUUGGAAGCUACAGUGUCAUAAAAUAUCCCAGGUAAGUGACUUCAGUGUCAAAGAAAAAUCAGAAGUAUUUGAAAAAGAAGCAGAGAAGCCAGGUGCAGAGGAAAGGACACAGACAUUUUGGUGGCUCCCUUCAGAGGGAUGCCACUCCAG
This 870-nucleotide long non-coding RNA is filed under the name Capra hircus (goat). RNAcentral's name for it is "lncRNA (ENSCHIG00010007462.1)". The record is from RNAcentral. Lineage: Eukaryota; Metazoa; Chordata; Mammalia; Artiodactyla; Bovidae.